ACCAGGCUCCUGCGAACAAGAAAGGCAUGUGGUGCUGGCAUAACCUAGCUGAAGGCUGCGGGAGAGAAGACAGACAUGGUGUGGCACCCCGGCAGGGAUAGUGAAGGUGCCAUUGAAAUGUUUGUUUCCCUGGAAGAACAGUGGGGUAGAGAGAACCCAGGAGGCAGCUGGGGAGGAGCAUUUGAUCACUAGUGCCUCCUUUGACAGGUCAUCAGAUCAGACUUGCAUCCUCAUGCUUGCUUGGCAAGCGCGUCGACCUUAGGAGCCAUUUUCCAGGUUCCUGGUGACUGAUUUGAAAUAAAGCCUCUGC
Long non-coding RNA from Arvicanthis niloticus (Nile rat), 310 nucleotides. RefSeq lists it as uncharacterized. The record is from RefSeq and is a predicted model, not a curated record. NCBI's taxonomy places the organism in Eukaryota, Metazoa, Chordata, Mammalia, Rodentia, Muridae.